Molecule: small nuclear RNA, 23 nt
Filed under: Arabidopsis thaliana (thale cress)
Lineage: Eukaryota; Viridiplantae; Streptophyta; Magnoliopsida; Brassicales; Brassicaceae
Description: snRNA_04780
Source: RNAcentral
GGUGACCUCCCGGGAAGUCCUCG